GUAAUGCAUCGGAACGUAUCCCGGAGUGGGGGAUAACGCAGCGAAAGUUGCGCUAAUACCGCAUGAGCUCUGAGGAGGAAAGCGGGGGACCGAAAGGCCUCGCGCUGUGGGAGCGGCCGAUGUCCGAUUAGCUAGUUGGUGGGGUAAAGGCCCACCAAGGCGACGAUCGGUAGCUGGUCUGAGAGGAUGAUCAGCCACACUGGGACUGAGACACGGCCAGACUCCUACGGGAGGCAGCAGUGGGGAAUUUUGGACAAUGGGGGAAACCCUGAUCCAGCCAUGCCGCGUGAGUGAAGAAGGCCUUCGGGUUGUAAAGCUCUUUCGGACGGAACGAAAUCGCUCGCGCGAAUAACGCGGGUGGAUGACGGUACUGUAAGAAGAAGCACCGGCUAACUACGUGCCAGCAGCCGCGGUAAUACGUAGGGUGCGAGCGUUAAUCGGAAUUACUGGGCGUAAAGCGUGCGCAGGCGGUUGUUUAAGCCAGUCGUGAAAUCCCCGGGCUUAACCUGGGAAUGGCGAUUGGGACUGGACGGCUAGAGUGCGGCAGAGGGAGGUGGAAUUCCACGUGUAGCAGUGAAAUGCGUAGAUAUGUGGAGGAACACCGAUGGCGAAGGCAGCCUCCUGGGCCAGCACUGACGCUCAUGCA
This 646-nucleotide ribosomal RNA is filed under the name uncultured bacterium. RNAcentral's name for it is "bacterial SSU rRNA". It matches the Rfam family "Bacterial small subunit ribosomal RNA", at positions 110 to 753 of the family's 1533-position model. The record is from RNAcentral.